ACUGUAUUGCAAUCAAUAACUCGUUGGACCUAUAAUCCAAAGGUCGUGGGUUCGAACCCUACCUUAGAUG
Non-coding RNA from Trichonephila clavipes, 70 nucleotides. Lineage: Eukaryota; Metazoa; Arthropoda; Arachnida; Araneae; Nephilidae. The record is from the annotation of a GenBank genome assembly.